RNAcentral lists this long non-coding RNA (486 nucleotides) under Theobroma cacao (cacao). RNAcentral describes it as "long non-coding RNA (TCAC_LNC005823)". Lineage: Eukaryota; Viridiplantae; Streptophyta; Magnoliopsida; Malvales; Malvaceae. The record is from RNAcentral.
CCGAUUUAAGUCCAAAUGAAGGUCCUUGUCAAAGUCAGCUAACUAUGGAAUUCCCCGAGCCUGAAAUGUGAGAAAAUGAGGGUGGUGAGAUUAUAAAAUCCCAGUGAGUAAACAGAUACCAUCUAAACUAUCUAAAGGCGAGUAAAUGGAGACGAAUUAAAAUAAGUCAUCAUAUUGUAAUUUCAUUACCUUUCAACUCAUUUCAACCAAAUAAACAACUAGGCUUAUGAUUUCCUGAAAAGCUUGGCUCAUGCCAAAAAUCAUUCUCAUACUCAGUUAUCAGGGAUACCUUGAUCGAGGGUUAUCCCAACCGAGUCCGCCAAGGCUGUUAAAUGUCUUUACAUCCAAAAUUUUAGCCAUGCCUUGGCGUUGACUGAGUCUCACUCUCACGCGGUGGUCCACGUGAAGUGCACUCAAAUCUUUACCUCAGGAGAUACUUCAUCCAACAUCUCCCUCCGGAGGUAAAUAUAUAAUUGGGUUACCGUG